AUUGAACGCUGGCGGCAGGCCUAACACAUGCAAGUCGAACGAGUGGCGGACGGGUGAGUAAUGUAUGGGAAACUGCCUGAUGGAGGGGGAUAACUUCUGGAAAGGGUAGCUAAUACCGCAUACCAUCGGAUGUGCCCAGCUGGGAUUAGCUUGUUGGCGGGGUAAAGGCUCACCUAGGCGACGAUCCAUAGCGGGUCUGAGAGGGUGACCCGCCACCCUGGGACUGAGACACGGUCCAGACUCCUACGGGAGGCAGCAGUGGGGAAUGUUGCACAAUGGGCGCAAGCCUGAUGCAGCCAUGCCGCGUGUAUGAAGAAGGCCUUCGGGUUGUAAAGUACUUUCAGCUGGGAGGCGUUACCCGCAGAAUAAGCACCGGCUAACUCCGUGCCAGCAGCCGCGGUAAUAC
This 406-nucleotide ribosomal RNA is filed under the name uncultured bacterium. RNAcentral's name for it is "partial 16S ribosomal RNA". It matches the Rfam family "Bacterial small subunit ribosomal RNA", at positions 30 to 526 of the family's 1533-position model. The record is from RNAcentral.